Cavia porcellus (domestic guinea pig) is the source of this 64-nucleotide transfer RNA. It matches the Rfam family "tRNA". From Rfam's summary of the family: Transfer RNA (tRNA) molecules are approximately 80 nucleotides in length. Their secondary structure includes four short double-helical elements and three loops (D, anti-codon, and T loops). Further hydrogen bonds mediate the characteristic L-shaped molecular structure. tRNAs have two regions of fundamental functional importance: the anti-codon, which is responsible for specific mRNA codon recognition, and the 3' end, to which the tRNAs corresponding amino acid is attached (by aminoacyl-tRNA synthetases). tRNAs cope with the degeneracy of the genetic code in two manners: having more than one tRNA (with a specific anti-codon) for a particular amino acid; and 'wobble' base-pairing, i.e. permitting non-standard base-pairing at the 3rd anti-codon position. Lineage: Eukaryota; Metazoa; Chordata; Mammalia; Rodentia; Caviidae. The record is from Rfam.
GGGGAUUUAGCUCAGCGGCAUAAGCACCUGCCUUGCAAGCAGGCGGUUGUGAGUUCAAUGCCCG